CCUACGGGAGGCAGCAGUGGGGAAUUUUGGACAAUGGGCGAAAGCCUGAUCCAGCAAUGCCGCGUGAGUGAAGAAGGCCUUCGGGUUGUAAAGCUCUUUUGUCAGGGAAGAAACGGUGAGAGCUAAUAUCUCUUGCUAAUGACGGUACCUGAAGAAUAAGCACCGGCUAACUACGUGCCAGCAGCCGCGGUAAUACGUAGGGUGCAAGCGUUAAUCGGAAUUACUGGGCGUAAAGCGUGCGCAGGCGGUUUUGUAAGUCUGAUGUGAAAUCCCCGGGCUCAACCUGGGAAUUGCAUUGGAGACUGCAAGGCUAGAAUCUGGCAGAGGGGGGUAGAAUUCCACGUGUAGCAGUGAAAUGCGUAGAUAUGUGGAGGAACACCGAUGGCGAAGGCAGCCCCCUGGGUCAAGAUUGACGCUCAUGCACGAAAGCGUGGGGAGCAAACAGGAUUAGAUACCCUGGUAGUCCACGCCCUAAACGAUGUCUACUAGUUGUCGGGUCUUAAUUGACUUGGUAACGCAGCUAACGCGUGAAGUAGACCGCCUGGGGAGUACGGGUCGCAAGAUUAAAACGUCAAAGGAAUUGACGG
This 587-nucleotide ribosomal RNA is filed under the name uncultured bacterium. RNAcentral describes it as "bacterial SSU rRNA". It matches the Rfam family "Bacterial small subunit ribosomal RNA", at positions 338 to 916 of the family's 1533-position model. The record is from RNAcentral.